GCUCGGCCCUCGACCCGCCGCCGUCCCCCUCAGUACCACGCCUUUGGCUGCCCGCAUGGUUGCGCCCACGCAGAUGUAUGUCUGGCAGCCGCUGCGUUGGCCGGCGAUUUGUCUUUCGAAGAAUACGCCUUUUUAAAUUUAUUUAGAGUCCCCCCUCACGGCUUCGUAGUCACUGCUGUGCCCGAGGCCCCGGCGUGCACCCAGGCCUGUGGCGGCUCUGAGUGUUUUGUGUGUGUGGUCCGUUGACCUUGAGUUUGGGUCGAACGAGUUGCCCCCGGAUUGUAAUCGGAGUCCGUGUGGCGCACGUCCCCGGCCGCCCGCCCUGCGUCCGUCCGUCCCCCUCCCACCUCCGACUGGGAAGGACGGGCAGCAGCUUUGUCCUUGUGUGACCUGACGGCUUCCUGAUGGCGCAUUCAUCGCGGCCGGCUCUGCGUCUCGGUGGAAUUCUCCUUGUUGUUUUCCAGAACUAGAGUCAGCGAAGAACAUUUUCCUUGACUUUCAGGUGCUUUUAUAUUCAUCUCGAAAAGAAAAAAUUCUGAACUCAGGAUUUGGCAAGUAUUUCUGUGUUGUCUUCUGGAGUGGGGAGUCCUGCUUCUUCUGUCUACCCACUUCCGUAUCUUGAAAUGCGGAUAUCCCUCCUCUACAUUUUACCUCCAUGUUUUGGAUUGCAAAAGAUUGCUUUUCUUUUUCUUCCCACCUCUCAAAUUUAACACAGAGAAGCUCCUAGGAUGCAGUCAUCAUGCCAACUUCUCCAAGAAGAAAGAAGCAACUGACAUGUUUCUUCUGCCAAUUGCUUACUUGUAAAGAAAUUAUUUUGCAAGCUGAAGGGUGAUGUUUAAUUUGAAACUGGUGCUUAGAUGGUGGUAUUUGUGAAUUUUUUACCUUUUAUUCCCAGCAAGAAGACUAUAUAAAUAGCUAGUGUGGGUGUGACAUCAGGGUUUGUUUCGUUUUUUUAAUGUCUUCCCAUUUUAGCCACUAUCAUAAACAGUCAAGACUGCAGCAGUAAAUUUCAGAUGUGUUGUAAUUUGAAAUGAAAGAGAUGCUAAUAUAUAUAUAUAAAUCCUGGCUCAACCUGUGACAUAGAUGAACUGGAUAAGAACAAAGGUCCAGCUUUGCAGUGAAACCUUUGAUGUGAUAAAGAAGCACAAAAACAGAAUAUCACAAAGUUAAUUUCAUAUAUAAAUAAGUCAUCACAGUCUCUGUAUAAAUAUAUAUUUUAACAUGUAAAUCCACUUUUUUUUUUUUUUAAUGAGAAGAGGGAUUUUUCUCCCAGAGAAGGAACCUAUUCUUUCUCAGAAGUCUUUGGACAUUUGGUAUUGUAAAAAUUUUUCUUUUUUUCUUCUAAGGAAGGACCAUAUUGUGCUAACCCAAUGAAUGCAUGCUUGGGUUUAGUGAAGGUUGGUAAAGGAAACAAAAGCUUUGAGUCCAGUGUUGGAACCCUUUUCACCUCCUUGGGAUGAGAGGCUGCUGUAUUACAAAUUACUUCAUUCUCUUUUGUGGAGUUUUAUAUAGCACUUGGGACUUUUUCCCUAUUGCUAAGGCUGGAAGAAAGGUGACAUAAGUAGAUUUUCUGUUCAGAAGAUGUGAUGGACCCUCCAGUAUGACCUGCCUUCAACUUUGGACAUGGAGGAAUGGGGAGGGGUUGGGGGAGGGUGAGAAAAUGUUCAUAUAACUCCCUUCUCCUAAGAAAAUGAAGCAAAAAAAGCCUUAUACAUCCACCUGGCUUUAUGACGUUUUACAUUCAUAGCUCUAUUUUGUUGUAAAAGUAUAAAUAACUUUCCUUUGACCCAAGAUCAAUACUUGGAUGUUUGAUUGCUUUUUCUAGAUGAUAGCUGUAAUGUUAGGCAGAAAAGGCUGGGACUCAGGUAACUUCCCAUUUUCAUCAGAGAAUGGGCCUCAGAAGCAAUGUUCCCAAACAUGUGUUUGGAUCAGUAUAAAUUUAGAAGAAAUUCAGGUCUAAAGAAAACCUCAAAAAAAAUA
This is a long non-coding RNA of Myotis brandtii (Brandt's bat), 1980 nucleotides long. RefSeq lists it as uncharacterized. NCBI's taxonomy places the organism in Eukaryota, Metazoa, Chordata, Mammalia, Chiroptera, Vespertilionidae. The transcript is spliced from 3 exons. The record is from RefSeq and is a predicted model, not a curated record.